AAACAAUAUAUUGAAACAACUUUUUGACUUGAGUAACAGCUUAUUUUGUCAGACCUUUGAUUUUCGAAAAAGAAAGAAAUGUCGUCUCUCCCGAUCACAGAAACGAUUUAACUAAAAGAAAAGAAAGAUUUAAAAUAAAGAUUUGUGUGUUAACAUCACAAUAUUUAAAGCAUAUUACAUAUAAUUAAAUUGCAAAUGUGUUACUCAGCCAAGGGGUCUGUUAUUACUUAUUUUUGCUGCAUGUAGCAUUUUUUGUUCUUACAAUUCACAUCUUCUUUCUUUCUUUUGUUUUUUACUCCAAACUAUCAGCGUCGUUUCGUGACAUGUGUGUAUAUUUAGGAAGACAAGUAUAACCGCAUUAGCACAAAAGGAAUCCUUAGACAAACAAUCAAAAUCCCAGCUUGACCUCGAGAAGAAGAAGAAGAAGAAGAAGUCUUCUCGCGCUGCGCGAUGAGCACGCUCCGAACUGCACACUGGAAAACGCGCGCCCGGGCUGACGGCCUCAUGGGAGGUUUGAACGAGUCUUGAUGGGGUCACGAAACUCACUCAGCAGACAGACGCCCGGGUCAACUUUCAGUUCAGGUAAGAGAAAGAAAAACAAGCAGAGUUGCAGUUUGUGGCGCUUCUUCAGCGGCGGGCGGACGCUGCUGACACACGCGGCUCCUGAAAGGCAGCAGAGAUACACUGGAGGGGUCAAUCAUACACUCACUCAAUGCAUUCCUGCCUUCCCCCUGAGCUUCGUCUUUCUUUCAUUUCUUUUCUUCUUAUGGGGGCCGGAGGGGUACGGGGGGGGGGUGUACGGGGGAGGGGGGGGUGGUGGAGCUUGCGAAAACAAAAACCCUGGAAGAAAGAGAGAACGGAGAGAGAGAGAGGAGAGGACAGAAAGGGAGAGAGGAGGAAUAGAAGAAGAAAGGGCGGGCAGAAGUUAAAGUGAAUCACUUGUGGGGGGGUGGGGGUGGGGGGGGGGAGCGUCACGAGUGGACGGCGUGACAGGCAGCUUUCAUCACGGGCCGCCCUGUCAAUUCAGUAUGAUUAAUGUGCCUGCUCGGGGACGACCUGAAUGAGAAAUAUGACUACUGUCUGCUAAUUUGUUUAGUAUUGAGCUGCUUAGACAAGGGCUGGUGUGUGUGUGUGUGUGUGUGUGUGUGUGUCUGUGUGUGUGUGUGUGUGGGGGGGGGGGGGACAGGCCCAUCCAUCCUUGAAAAAAGUGAAGAAAAGAUGCUUGAACCAAAGCCUGCAACUCACUCUUUUGAUUGACACACUGUCUAUCCAGAAAGGUCCACACAGCCAUGAGGGGGUUCUGUGUGUGUGUGUGUGUGUGUGUGUGUGUGUGUGUGUGUGUGUGUGUGUGUGUGUGUGUGUGUGUGUGUGUGUGUGUGUGUGUGUGUGUGUGGGUGUGUGGGUGUGCGCGUCCCGCGACUGGCAGCUGGGUUCCUAAAGCUGUCAAUCAUUCUAACAAUGUGCACCGGGGUGCCAUCCCCCUAAUGGCGUCCCUUUCUCUCUCUCUCACACACACACACACACACACACACACACAUUCUCAGGAAAUGCUGCAGAGUCUCUUCCUGUUGAAUUGUUGUCACCGUCUUAAUGUAAUGUUACGCUCAUGUGCGCGUUUGCUACAUUAAACCAGUGAUGAAAAAGACAUUUGAAGCAACAUUUCUGCUGUUUUUCUUCUUAACUUGUGAGUUUCCAUGUGACAGAGUAAAUAAACACGGCUCGGUCGCCAGGCAGGUUUUAUUUACUGUAUAACAACAAGUCGAACCUAUAAUGACUGCUAACAGCUCAUAAAACACACACAACUCGCCCGCUGAUGUCUGCAGGACAGCGAUGCCCCUCGACCGUUUCUUCCCUUUUGCCCUCUCAUCCCUCCGCUGAAUGGAACAUUUACUGGGAGCGCCCACACACACACGCACACACACACACACACACACACACACCCUCACUUACACACUGCAUGCAUGCACUCCUUUGCUGCUGAAACAGCCCCUCAAAGACAUUCACAAGUGGAGCAACAACGCCCUGCACGCCUGGAUGAUGCAGCCAAGACGACGCAGCCUUUACCCCACCUAGACACACACGCACACACACACACACACACGCACGCACGCACACACACGCACACAGGGAUGAUCUUUGAAGCCCAGGCGAGGUGAGCCGGGGAUCACGGAGAUUGAUGCGGCGGCACGCAUCCUUUGAAACAACAGCCAGAGUUGUGACAAGUGGUGAUUAGCGGGCGCUUGUGUCUCUAAGCUUCACCCGGUGUCCGUCUCCAAGGAGAAAAAGAGACAUCCACCCUUUUUUCGUGCGUGUUUGUGUUUCACACAAGUCUGAGUCUGUGUCACAGUGUGGGCGAAGGUGUCUCGCUUGUGUAUUGACUGUGUGUGUGUGUGUGUGUGUGCUCUACAUGCACAUGCUCUGUUUCUUGAUAGAAAAGCUUCCAGCACCGAGGAUUCCACUUACUUUUGACCUUGAAUUAAACGGCACACGGGCCUCGCGUCCUAAAAGAACAAAUAACGUUCUCCUCGUCUUCUCCUGCUGAGGACACAGGCGGUAUUGGAGGGAUAAUAUGUAGUGAGUCCGAUUAACUGUAACUAGUAUAAAAAUAAAUGACCGGAGCUUCUACUGAACGGUUUUAACAGACUUUAAGCCGCUCCACUUGGCGUCACGGAUAUAACAUGCAGAGAAAAGUCAACCUGCGGAGAUCAAAACCCGGCGGGUUUCCACGGCGCACCACCCGGCGCGGGGUGGAUGUUUUCGCUCUGAGCGGUCGGCAGCGGCGGAUCUUGAGCACUGAACCGGAGCCGAGCAGAGUAAUUGUCUCUUUCCUCCUUAACAGGAUUAGAGCCCAGCGGUGUGGUGGGUUCAGGCCGCCGGUCAACCGUGCCGCCGCAGUCACUUCAGCCGGGGUCACUGAGCUCCUCGCGGGUCUGCAAGCCCACGUGAGAGGGGUCCCCCUAAUAAUAUAUAUGAUAUUUGAUAUUAUUCCUGUACUCAUGGAAGGCUACGUGCGGCAUGAACAUCGAUGCAAACACCCGACGCAGCGGAAAGAGAACCGUGAAAACACCCCACAUUCAUGUUAAUGUCCAACACGGACCGUCAGCGGGGGCCUUGCUUCACGCGUUGGACGUCUCUUUCCUCCUCUGCUCGGGGCCGUGGUGAACCUGAUGUGAUAACAGCUGACAGGUUACAUCUUCUGAUGAAGGGAGCGAAGAGGCCUCAGGCACCAACUUUUGUGUGUUUGUGUUUCCGAUAUUUGUGUGGACUCGAUUGAGCUUCAAGCCUUGAAUGUGAAGACAGUGAGGAUGUCUUGGAGAACAGAAGACAUUGUUUUGGCAGUGGGGACAUUUGAAGACAUUGAAAAGUGGAAAUAUUUUGGGAAGAAAUGGUGCCGUGUUUGCGUAGCAAGGAGAUACUGUUUUUCCAAAGGAUAUUCUUGGCCUUUUUCUGCACCUCAAUUCUUUUAAUGUUGAUUAUCGCAUUCAUGUGUGUGCGCUUCACUGUGUAUCAGUAACCCAAACACACACACACACACACACGCACACACACACGCACACACUCACUCACAGGUGGAUCAGCAGACAGUUUAGUUGCAGGUUUUCAGUCCAUUGAGCGCAGACAUUAAAUGUUGAAAGGCUUUUCCUCCUCCUCUCUGCUUCUUCUCACCUCUGUGUAACCCCGAACGCACACACACACACACACACACACACACACAUCUCUACACAUUCUCUCAUACACAUCUUCACACGUUAAUGACGCUAAUUACAAGCAAUUACUCGACAUAUCUGGCGCUGCUGCCCUCCGGCUGUGUUCCGAGCGUGUUCACUCAGAGGAAGGCCCAAUGACCUGAAGGUAGCUGAAGGCCUCACACUCCGUCGCUGUACUUUUGAGUGCUUUAGUUCAUAAAGACGACUACAGCCGCCUUCAACUUCAGACAAAGUCUUCUUACAUCAACUUACAGAAACACGUCGUCAUUUGUUGAUGCGUUCAAGGAUGCUUUGACAUCUGAUAUUUAAGAAAGAAACCAAAUAAGUCACAUUGUUCUUUCCACAACAUCCACACUAAAUAGUAAUUGUAAUGUGAAAAGAUAAAAUAUGUUAAUGUACUUUUAUUUUCACUGCAUGUUUAAGAGUGUCCAAACUCACAUUGAUCAGCAUCUCAAUAGUCUUAACUUAAAACUCUUAUCUGUUACAAUGAGCUCAGAUCCAUUUCAGUCCGGUAUGCAAAUCCCUCUCACUCCGCUACUGUCAAUGUUUGACCGAGGCCUUAAAGCGGAGGAGGUGAAACCUGACCAAACAUCUGUGGACGGAGGCUUAUCCGGCCGGCAGACUGCAGGCUGCAGCUGGUCUCUGCCGGGUGUCUCGCAGUCCCCCCGUGCG
Long non-coding RNA from Gasterosteus aculeatus aculeatus (three-spined stickleback), 4379 nucleotides. The record is from Ensembl. Lineage: Eukaryota; Metazoa; Chordata; Actinopteri; Perciformes; Gasterosteidae.